GAUGAACGCUGGCGGCGUGCCUAAUACAUGCAAGUCGAGCGAACAGACGAGGAGCUUGCUCCUCUGACGUUAGCGGCGGACGGGUGAGUAACACGUGGAUAACCUACCUAUAAGACUGGGAUAACUUCGGGAAACCGGAGCUAAUACCGGAUAAUAUAUUGAACCGCAUGGUUCAAUAGUGAAAGACGGUUUUGCUGUCACUUAUAGAUGGAUCCGCGCCGCAUUAGCUGGUUGGUAAGGUAACGGCUUACCAAGGCGACGAUGCGUAGCCGACCUGAGAGGGUGAUCGCCCACACGGGAACUGAGACACGGACCAGACUCCUACGGGAGGCAGCAGUAGGGAAUCUUCCGCAGUGGGCGAAAGCCUGACGGAGCAGCGCCGCGUGAGUGGUGGAGGUCUUCGGAUCGUAAAGCUCUCUUAUUAGGGAAGAACAAAUGUGUAAGUAACUGUGCACGUCUUGACGGUACCUAGUCAGAAAGCCACGGCUAACUACGUG
Molecule: ribosomal RNA, 497 nt
Filed under: uncultured bacterium
Lineage: Bacteria
Description: partial 16S ribosomal RNA
Rfam family: Bacterial small subunit ribosomal RNA
Source: RNAcentral